RNAcentral lists this long non-coding RNA (331 nucleotides) under Mus pahari (shrew mouse). RNAcentral's name for it is "predicted gene 45202 (MGP_PahariEiJ_G0004128.1)". Lineage: Eukaryota; Metazoa; Chordata; Mammalia; Rodentia; Muridae. The record is from RNAcentral.
UGUUGAGCCCUCCCUGCCCAGUCUCUGGGCCUGGUACUCUUCCAGACUCUUCUCCAACCGUGUUUCCUGCCAUCAGCCUUGCUCCCACUCAGAUGACUGCUGUGAACACACAUGUUUGGUGACACGGCUGUGGUGUUGUAACGGCCUGCAGGGUGAGCCUGUGUGGAGGUCAAAGGAUAACUUCCGGGAGUUGAUUCACUCCUUCCAAGUGUAGGUCCCAGGGAUGAAAGUCAGGUCAUCAGGCUUGGUGCCAAGUUCCUGUCCUCAUUGAGCCAUCCUACUGCCCUUUCAUUGUGUUUUAAAAACAAAGAAGAACAAAGCUUCAAAAAUC